GAGUUUGAUCCUGGCUCAGGACGAACGCUGGCGGCGUGCUUAACACAUGCAAGUCGAACGGAAAGGUCUCUUCGGAGACACUCGAGUGGCGAACGGGUGAGUAACACGUGGGCAAUCUGCCCUGCACACCGGGAUAAGCCUGGGAAACUGGGUCUAAUACCGGAUAGGACCACUUGGCGCAUGCCUUGUGGUGGAAAGCUUUUGCGGUGUGGGAUGGGCCCGCGGCCUAUCAGCUUGUUGGUGGGGUGACGGCCUACCAAGGCGACGACGGGUAGCCGGCCUGAGAGGGUGUCCGGCCACACUGGGACUGAGAUACGGCCCAGACUCCUACGGGAGGCAGCAGUGGGGAAUAUUGCACAAUGGGCGCAAGCCUGAUGCAGCGACGCCGCGUGGGGGAUGACGGCCUUCGGGUUGUAAACCUCUUUCACCAUCGACGAAGGUCCGGGUUCUCUCGGAUUGACGGUAGGUGGAGAAGAAGCACCGGCCAACUACGUGCCAGCAGCCGCGGUAAUACGUAGGGUGCGAGCGUUGUCCGGAAUUACUGGGCGUAAAGAGCUCGUAGGUGGUUUGUCGCGUUGUUCGUGAAAUCUCACGGCUUAACUGUGAGCGUGCGGGCGAUACGGGCAGACUAGAGUACUGCAGGGGAGACUGGAAUUCCUGGUGUAGCGGUGGAAUGCGCAGAUAUCAGGAGGAACACCGGUGGCGAAGGCGGGUCUCUGGGCAGUAACUGACGCUGAGGAGCGAAAGCGUGGGGAGCGAACAGGAUUAGAUACCCUGGUAGUCCACGCCGUAAACGGUGGGUACUAGGUGUGGGUUUCCUUCCUUGGGAUCCGUGCCGUAGCUAACGCAUUAAGUACCCCGCCUGGGGAGUACGGCCGCAAGGCUAAAACUCAAAGGAAUUGACGGGGCCCGCACAAGCGGCGGAGCAUGUGGAUUAAUUCGAUGCAACGCGAAGAACCUUACCUGGGUUUGACAUGCACAGGACGCGUCUAGAGAUAGGCGUUCCCUUGUGGCCUGUGUGCAGGUGGUGCAUGGCUGUCGUCAGCUCGUGUCGUGAGAUGUUGGGUUAAGUCCCGCAACGAGCGCAACCCUUGUCUCAUGUUGCCAGCGGGUAAUGCCGGGGACUCGUGAGAGACUGCCGGGGUCAACUCGGAGGAAGGUGGGGAUGACGUCAAGUCAUCAUGCCCUUAUGUCCAGGGCUUCACACAUGCUACAAUGGCCGGUACAAAGGGCUGCGAUGCCGCGAGGUUAAGCGAAUCCUUUUAAAGCCGGUCUCAGUUCGGAUCGGGGUCUGCAACUCGACCCCGUGAAGUCGGAGUCGCUAGUAAUCGCAGAUCAGCAACGCUGCGGUGAAUACGUUCCCGGGCCUUGUACACACCGCCCGUCACGUCAUGAAAGUCGGUAACACCCGAAGCCAGUGGCCUAACCCUCGGGAGGGAGCUGUCGAAGGUGGGAUCGGCGAUUGGGACGAAGUCGUAACAAGGUAGCCGUACCGGAAGGUGCGGCUGGAUCACC
RNAcentral lists this ribosomal RNA (1515 nucleotides) under Mycobacterium kansasii. Its description in RNAcentral is "bacterial SSU rRNA". It matches the Rfam family "Bacterial small subunit ribosomal RNA". Lineage: Bacteria; Bacillati; Actinomycetota; Actinomycetes; Mycobacteriales; Mycobacteriaceae. The record is from RNAcentral.